CAGCUCCUUGCCUUCCCUUCACAGCUGUCAAUCAGGUGUCAACUUCCUGGCUAUAGGAGUAAGAGAGCAGCCUCAGGGCGGGCAGACCCCCCUGGAGGUUGGAGUCUCACCUCGUGCCUUGGUCCAAUUUGGCGGAGACCUUUUCUUACUCCCUUCCCGGUAUUUUGUCCUGCUGAAGAGCUCGAACACAACGAUCUGAUUACACAGAAUCCCAAGGAGAGAAGAAUUUGGAAUUUCAAAUUUUAAAAAGGAUAAUUUCAGAAGGAGCUGGAAAGACCUCCAUGAACUGAUGCAGAGUGAAAUGAGCAGAACCAGGAGAACAUGGUACAAAGUAACUGAAAUAUUGUGGAACGAUCAAAUGGGAUAGACUUGGCUUCUAACAGCAAUGCAACGACCCAGGACAAUUCUGAGGGACUUAGGACAAAGAAAGCUAUGCACCUCCAGAGAAAGAACUGUGGGAGUACAAAUGCAGAUGAAAACAUGAUUUAUUACUUGUUUAUUUGGAUAUGUGAUUUGGGUUUUGGUUUAAUAAGAUUAUUUAUUUAUAAAAGUGAAUAAUAUGGAAAUAUGUUUUGCUUGAUAACACAUGUAUAACCGAGUCUGAAUUGCUUGUCAGCACCAGGAGGUGGGAAGGAAGGAAGGAAGGAAACAACAUGGAUCAUAUAAGUUUGGAAAAUUUAUGUGAAAAUAUGUUAU
Molecule: long non-coding RNA, 696 nt
Organism: Monodelphis domestica (gray short-tailed opossum)
Lineage: Eukaryota; Metazoa; Chordata; Mammalia; Didelphimorphia; Didelphidae
Source: RefSeq, a predicted model, not a curated record